ACUUACGGCCAUACCAUCCUGAAUACGCCCGAUCUCGUCUGAUCUCGGAAAGUAAGCAGGGUCGGGCCUGGUUAGUAUUUGGAUGGGAGACCGCCUGGGAAUACCAGGUGCUGUAAGGG
Molecule: ribosomal RNA, 119 nt
Filed under: Hucho hucho (huchen)
Lineage: Eukaryota; Metazoa; Chordata; Actinopteri; Salmoniformes; Salmonidae
Source: RNAcentral